GAGCCGCGGGGGCUUCUGGGAAGCGUUGCCCCUGGUCUAACGGACCGAGGCUUGCGGCGCUCUCAGGCACCGCCAGCGCCGUCCUCAGAGGCGCCUCGCCCCAGCCCCCGCCGGCUGUGCCACUUGGGCAGCAUUAGGUGUGGAGUCGGGGCCUGUGUCCGCGGGCUCUGUGAGUUCUUCCUAUAUUAAGAAUUCAUUCAUUCAUAGACUCAUCACUUACUGAAUGCUGUCUGUGUAACAGGCACAAUCGUAGGUGCUCAGGAUAUAGCAGUGAACAAGAGACUAACCCCCUACCAUCAUGGUAUUUACAUUUUUGUGGACCAGAUAAUAAACAAGCUCUACCUCUGCAGGCCCCAUCCCUUCCCAGAAAGAAGAGGAAAUGCGUGAGUUCCAGGGAACAGUGAUAGUCAAAGAUGUGGCUAUUGACUUCACCCAGGAGGAGUGGAAGCGAUUGGAUACUGCUCAGAGAAACCUGUACUGGAACGUGAUGCUAGAAAACCAUAACAACUUAAUCACAGUGGGCUAUCCAUUCAUCAGACCUGAUGUGAUUUUCAAAUUGGAGCGAGAAGAAGAACCAUGGGUGAUGGAGGAAGAAGUAUUAAGGAGACACUGGCAAGGAGAAAUAUGGGGAGUUGAUGAGCAUCAGAAAAGCCAGGACACACUUUUGAGACAAGUUGAAGAAAAAUUCCAGAAAACACUGACUGAAGAAAAAGGUAAUGACUAUCAUAAGAAAUUUGCAAAUGUGUUUCCUCUGAACUCUGAUUUUUUUCCCUUCUAGACACAAUCUCUAUGAGUAUAACUUAUUUGGGAAGUGUUUAGAACAUAAUUUUGACUGUCAUAAUAAUGUGAAAUGCCUUAUAGGAAAGGAACAUUGUGAAUAUAAUGAACCUGUGAAAUCAUACGGUAAUAGCUCAUCCCAUUUUGUCAUUACCCCCUUUAAGGGUAAUCAUUGUGGAAAAGGCUUCAAUCAAACUUUGGACCUCAUCAGACAUCUGAGAAUUCAUACUGGAGAGAAGCCCUAUGAAUGUAGUAACUGUAGAAUAGCCUUCAGUCACAAGGAAAAACUUAUUAAACAUUAUAAAAUUCAUGGUAGGGAGCAGUCUUAUGAAUGUAAUGAAUGUGGUAAAGCUUUCAUUAAAAUGUCAAAUUUCAUUAGACAUUAAAGAAUUCAUACUGGAGAGAAACCCUAUGCAUGUAAGGAAUGUGAGAAAUCCUUCAGCCAGAAAUCAAAUCUCAUUGAUCAUGAAAAAAUUCAUACUGGAGAGAAACCUUGUGAAUGUAAUGAGUGUGGAAAAGCAUUCACCCAGAAGCAAAGCCUCAUUGCUCAUCAGAAAGUUCAUACUGGGGAGAAACCUUAUGCAUGUAAUGAAUGUGGUAAAGCCUUCCCUCGAAUUGCAUCCCUUGCUCUUCAUGUGAAAAGUCAUACAGAAGAAAAACCUUAUAAGUGUGAUAAAUGUGGUAAAGCCUUCUCUCAGUUUUCCGUGAUUAUUAUACAUGUUAGAAUUCAUACAGAUGAAAAACCCUAUGAAUGUAAUAAGUUUGGAAAAGCCUUCUCCCAGAGCUCAGCACUUACUGUACAUAUGCGAAGUCAUACUGGUGAGAAACCCUAUGAAUGUAAGGAAUGCAGAAAAGCCUUGAGCCACAAGAAAAACUUCAUUACACACCAGAAAAUCCACACUAGAGAGAAACCAUAUGAGUGUAAUGAAUGUGGGAAAGCUUUUAUACAGAUGUCAAAUCUUGUUAGACACCAGAGAAUUCAUACCAGGAAAAAAACCUAUAUAUAUAAGGAAUGUGGGAAAGCCUUUAGCCAGAAAUCAAAUAUCAUUGCUCAUGAAAAAAUUCGUUCUGGAGAGAAACCCUAUGAAUGCAACGAAUGUGGUAAAGCCUUCAGCCAAAAGCAAAACUUUAUUACACAUCAAAAAGUUCAUACUGGAGAGAAACCUUAUGAUUGCAAUGAAUGUGAUAAAGCCUUCUCUUAAAUUGCAUCCCUUACCCUCCAUUUGAGAAGUCAUACAGGGGAAAAGUCUUAUGAAUGUGGUAAAUGGUGUAAAGCCUUCUCUCAGUGCUCACUGCUUCAUUUACGUAUGAGAAGUCACACAGUUGAGAAGCCCUAUGUAUGUAAUGAAUGUGGGAAAGCCUUCUCUCAAAGAACUUCCCUUAUUGUGCACAUGAGAAGCCAUACAGGUAAAAAACCCUAUGAAUGUAAUAAAUGUGGAAAAGCCUUCUCCCAAAGCUCAUCCCUUACUAUACAUAUACGAGGACAUACAGGUGAGAAACCCUUUGACUGUAGUAAAUGUGGAAAAGCCUUCUCUCAAAUCUCAUCUUACACUUCAUGUGAGAAAACAUACAGGUGAGAAGCCCUAUCACUGUAUUGAGUGCGGCAAGGCUUUCAGCCAGAAGUCACACCUUGUCAGACACCAGAGAAUUCAUACUCAUUAGAACCCUAUGAAUAUGUGAACAUGGCAAAGCUUUCUGAAGGAAUUAACACCUCAUUGCACAUUACAUGACCAUUUCUAGAGUAGAAACCUACGAAUGUGGAAUAGCCUUCUGAAAA
Molecule: RNA transcript, 2554 nt
Organism: Sapajus apella (tufted capuchin)
Lineage: Eukaryota; Metazoa; Chordata; Mammalia; Primates; Cebidae
Gene name: zinc finger protein 569 pseudogene
Exons: 2
Source: RefSeq, a predicted model, not a curated record